GGCCAUGGUGAGUGUAAACAUCUGCCUUUCAGGCUGAGUGGACGCACAUCCUCCCACCUUAGCUAGAGGGGUAGCUCUGGAUAUGUACCUCCUGUCUCCACCGGCCUCAGUGAUAGGGCCUUGGGCUAGUUAUUUUCCAAGACAACCCAUGCCGUCAGGGUCGCGCCCAGGUGUGGACAGUAAUGUGGGGUUCUGGCAUCUGACAGACUUAGAAGGAACAUGGAAAAUUGGUUCUGUCUGAUUCCAUGUCCCCACUUAGUGAGGAAACGUUGUUGAAGUGCCAAAGGAGAUCAGUCAAAGGAUGCUCUCCCAGUAUGCAGCAAUGGAGGUUCAGCUGUAGAAUUCUCACCUUGCAUGUGGGAGACCUGGAUUCGAAUCCCAGCCAAUGCACGUCAUAUGCAGCCACCACCCAUCUGUCAACGGAGGCUUGCAUGUUACUAUGGUACUGAAGAGAUUUCAGCAGAGCUUCUAGACUCAGAUGGACUUGGAAUAAAGGCCUGGAGAAGGAUUUCUGAAAACCAGCCAAUGAAAGCCCUAUGGAUCACAUCUGUGAUCUGAAACCUAUCAUGGAUUGUGCAGGACUGGGCAUUGCUUUGUUCCGCUGUGCAUGGAGUCACUAUAAGUUGAGCGCUGACUCGAUGGAAACUUAUCACAACCUCUCCCAGUGUCCCUCUCCAAUAGCUGGAAUAGACUGUCCCAACAUGGGGAGGUCUAGUGUGGUCUGCUCAGGAUAGUCUGACAUCCCCUAGCCUGCCGGCGAGGAAGAUCAAGGCAUCUCUGAUGACAGCCUCUAUUUCUUCUAUGCUGUCAGCUCUGGCAACCCCUGUCCCCAGCACCUCUCUCCAGGUGCAACCCUCAGGCCAUUCCAGCUGCCAGAUAAUCUGUUCCCCAGGAAAUGCCUGGCUCGGCCAACAUCCACAGGUUGGCUCUGGUGCUGACUCCAUAAAAGUUUUCACUCCCUGGCUGCUGGAAGGCAUGUAAGCUUAAGGGGAGCUGGCAGGAGGUCAGAGGAAGGAGUGACACCAAGGCAGAGGGUUUACCUGGGCUCUCUCCCUCAGCGAACUGGCUCUGUUUUGUCAAGGUGGCCUCCAGGCUUCAGCAACUGCCCCUCCGUCCCUCCUCCUUCAGGCCCAGUGUUUUUUUUACCAGCUCUGGAGUCUGCAGUGAUCCUGCAGAACUCAGCUGUCAUGCUGUGAGAAGCCCCAGCCCUAUGAAGAGUUCACAAGUAGACUCUCCAUUCAGUUAUUCCAGCUGGACUCCCAGCUACCAACCUGCAUCAACUGCCAGCCUUUUGAGGGAACCACAGUGGAUCUUCCAGCCCAUUUAAGCCAUCAGAUGACUGCAGCUGCAGCCAAAAUCUCACUACUACCACAUGGGAAGCAUCAGUUGUCUGUGACUCUGUGUGGCUCUAGUGUCGGUGCAUUCCUUGUUCUGGAAUCCAGGCUGAAGGAGAAGUGUUUUCGGAACACGUCACUCUCAAGCAAGAGAAAGGAUCAAUGGUGGAGCCACACUUUGGACACAGGGUGGGUAAUCAAGGCCAAUGUCAGUGGUGGCAUGAGUAUCCUCCUCUCAGGGGGAUAGCAUGCUCACAGCAAGUAGGGGACAGUGAAUAGUGAGGAGCAGUACUGUGAUUUACCAUCAGGAUGAGGAUACAGCUGGAGAGCUCAGCACAGUCUGCCUGAGAGCCAAUGCAUCUGCUAGGUCUUGUGCAUUUUGUGCAUCAUGCUUUCCCGGGUUUCUCUUUGUAUUCCCUGUUGCCGUUGGGCUCGUCUUGGUGUGGGCUUUUCUCACAUCCUAUGUGGACAAGCUCUUACCUCUCCUCUGGUCUCUUUCCUCUGGGCUGACUACCUGUAGCCUGUAUUGAACAGAGCUUGGGGGAUGGCCAUAUGUUGGGGAAAGUUACUAGCCUUGAAUCCAGAUUUCCGUGUACAGACUCACCACUCCACAUGCCAGUGGGGAGACAUUGGUCAUGUUAGGGAAGGUUACUAGCCUUGAGUCCACAGGUCUAGGUACAGACCCACCUUUCCACAUGUCAGAUGACCUUUGCCAUCUACCCAGCCCUGGCCACAUCCAUACCUGGGCCUGGGCUGGACCCUGGGAAGCAACAUAAAGAAAGGGCUGGGAUGUCAUUGCUCUUUUCUCCCCCCUCCUUGCCCAUGCUGCAGUUCUGCAAACUUGAAGGAACAUUUUAGAUGCCAUCCUUGGACUUCACACCAUGGAUGUCCUCCUGGAUGGCCUGGCCAUCGAGUGCAAGGACUGAGCCCGGGGUCCCAAGGGUACUGUGGAGGUCACAGAGUGGCAACCUUCGUUUCACACAGAGCUGCAGGAAAGGGGGUGACCAUGCCCAGCUUUCCAGGCAAGGUUUGAGGGCCAAGACCUUCUCCAGUUGGAGAACUCUCUGGACAUCUGUCUCCUCUGUCUGUGUCUGGGUUUGCUUGGCCGUGUCCUGGCCUCGACUUGGAGUCCAAGUGUGUGAAUGGACUGAUGGCAACUUGGGAGCUCUUUCCACAGCUGGGAUAGGGCUGGCAGGUGGUGUAUCCCUUUGUCUGCAAGGGCACUCAGGCCAGGAAAAAGGACACACCCAAGAACCUUUGCCCCUCACCAGCAGCUAAACGACACGGAAGCCUUAUGGUUUAAAGGGCCACUAUUUGGCAGCACCUACUGAGCACAACCUGCUCUGUCUCAGGCUCCUUGAAGCUUGGCCCUGAGUCUAAUGCAAAGAAUCUCUGGUGGUGUUAUGGGGUGAAUUAUGUCCCCCCCAAAAGUUAUGUUGACUCUGUAAAUAGGAGAGUUCUUGUCAUUCUUUGCCAUCAUGUCAGCCCCCACCUCAUAGUGAGCCUGAGUACAAUGGAACAAAGCGCUGUCUGGUGUUUCUUCACCCCCAUGACCGGUUGUGGAGCAAGCCAUUAUAAUCCACAGAGUUUUUGUUGGUUGGCUUUUAGAAGUAGUUCACCAGGUGUUUCUUCCUAGUCCAACUUAGCCUGGAAACUCCAGUGAAAGCUGUUCAGCAUCAUAGCAACAUGCAAGCCUCCACUGACAGACAGGUGGCGCAUUGGUCAGGAAUUGAAUCCAGGUCUCGUACAUGGAAGGUGAGAAUUCUACCACUGAACCACCAAUACUCUCCUCACCCUUUCCACCCUCCCCCCCAUAAAAAAAAAUUAUGUUGAAGUCUUAACCCUGUCCCUGUAUACUUGACCCUGUUCGUAAACAGGGUAUUCUUUGUCAUGUAAUGAGGUCAUACUGAGUAAGGUAGGUCCUACACAUAAUCAUUUCUGACUGGUGUCUUGUAAAAAGAGCAGGAUAGACACAGAAACGCACACAGGGUGAAGACAAACACCAAGGAAUGCCAAGGAACUGCUGGGGCUAUGAACAAAAACAGACUCCUUCCCCCCUUAGAGCUGAUUCUAGCCUCCAGAACUGUGAGACAAUAAAUUCUGGCUCUUUAAAUCCUUCCAGUUGUGGUAUUUCUCUUAAGGUAGCACAAUGGAAGUAAGACAAGUGGCAAGGACCCAAUCCUGUCAGUACCAUGGCCCCUGUUUCCCACCCACAGCCAUUCCAGAAGUUGGUCCUGGACUCUCAUAGCUUCCCCCCUGGCCUCUGGGUUUUCAGAGCAGCUCCCAAGCAGCACCAUCCAAUGAGCCCCUCCAUACCCCUUGCCCGUAUAAAAUUACCUGCAACUCCCUACAGCCCCUAGGACAUGGGUCAGCAACUCAGAGGCGCUUUUGACCCAGCUCUCUGAAGGCCCUUUGUUGGUCAUCCCACCCAGUUCUGUCCGCCUUCCAGCACAGCCGAGGCUUCUCCCUUAGCAAUGGCCAAGGCUAGACAUGCCUCCUGUUCAGUCCCUUGGGGCUCUGCUCAACAGGCUCUUUGAAUCUCCUGCAACCUACUGGAUCCAUCCAUCUCAGGUGCUGAGAUGGUUACUCCUGACUUGCUGUCUUCAAACUCCUGGGCCCACGGUGAUCG
This is a long non-coding RNA of Loxodonta africana (African savanna elephant), 3963 nucleotides long. RefSeq lists it as uncharacterized. The record is from RefSeq and is a predicted model, not a curated record. Lineage: Eukaryota; Metazoa; Chordata; Mammalia; Proboscidea; Elephantidae. The transcript has 3 exons.